GGCCCCAUCGUCUAACGGCUAGGACGCCACCCUUUCACGGUGGAAAUCGGGGUUCGAUUCCCCGUGGGGUCACAA
The sequence is a transfer RNA, 75 nucleotides long. It matches the Rfam family "tRNA". From Rfam's summary of the family: Transfer RNA (tRNA) molecules are approximately 80 nucleotides in length. Their secondary structure includes four short double-helical elements and three loops (D, anti-codon, and T loops). Further hydrogen bonds mediate the characteristic L-shaped molecular structure. tRNAs have two regions of fundamental functional importance: the anti-codon, which is responsible for specific mRNA codon recognition, and the 3' end, to which the tRNAs corresponding amino acid is attached (by aminoacyl-tRNA synthetases). tRNAs cope with the degeneracy of the genetic code in two manners: having more than one tRNA (with a specific anti-codon) for a particular amino acid; and 'wobble' base-pairing, i.e. permitting non-standard base-pairing at the 3rd anti-codon position.